UUUGAUGGCGACCGGCGCACGGGUGAGUAACACGUAUCCAACCUGCCGAUGACUCGGGGAUAGCCUUUCGAAAGAAAGAUUAAUACCCGAUGGCAUAGUUCUUCCGCAUAGUGGAACUAUUAAAGAAUUUCGGUCAUCGAUGGGGAUGCGUUCCAUUAGGUUGUUGGCGGGGUAACGGCCCACCAAGCCUUCGAUGGAUAGGGGUUCUGAGAGGAAGGUCCCCCACAUUGGAACUGAGACACGGUCCAAACUCCUACGGGAGGCAGCAUG
RNAcentral lists this ribosomal RNA (270 nucleotides) under uncultured bacterium. RNAcentral's name for it is "partial 16S ribosomal RNA". It matches the Rfam family "Bacterial small subunit ribosomal RNA", at positions 84 to 353 of the family's 1533-position model. The record is from RNAcentral.